RNAcentral lists this long non-coding RNA (625 nucleotides) under Pan troglodytes (chimpanzee). RNAcentral's name for it is "long non-coding RNA NONPTRT004947". Lineage: Eukaryota; Metazoa; Chordata; Mammalia; Primates; Hominidae. The record is from RNAcentral.
UACAUGCACAGUCAUGUCACAGGUAGUCACACCCUCUCACUCACAUCCUCCCAGGCACACUCACAAUCAAGCCUUCACACGCACAACAGUCACACCCUCACAUGCAGUCACACCCAUAUGCACACUCAUGCACACUCACAUCCUCCCAUGCAGUCACUCGCACGGGCAGUCACACAUUCACUCUCACAUGCACACAGUCACACUCUCAUGCAGUCACACCUGCACAUGCACACAGUCACACCUGCACUGUCACACCCAUACGUGCACUCAGUCACACCCUCAUUCAGUCACACCUUCACAUGCACACAGUCACACCUGCACUGUCACACCCACACAUGCACUCACAGUCACACCCUCAUAUGCAGUCACACCUCACAUGCACACUCAGUCACACCCUCACAUGCACACUCAUGCACUCAUAUCCUCCCAUGCAGUCACACCUGCACAUGCAGUCACACAUUCACUCUCACAUGCAGUCACACCCUCUCGUGCACACUCAGUGACACCUUCACAUGCACAGUCACACCUGCACUGUCACACCCACACAUGCACACUCAGUCACAUCCUCUCAUGCACUCAUAUACACAAUCACACCCUCCCAUGCACAAAGGCACUCACAAUCACA